UUCCUGAGCCUGGCAGGGGAGAUACCAUGAUCACGAAGGUGGUUUUCCCAGGGCGAGGCUUAUCCAUUGCACUCCGGAUGUGCUGACCCCUGCGAUUUCCCCAAAUGUGGGAAACUCGACUGCAUAAUUUGUGGUAGUGGGGGACUGCGUUCGCACUUUCCCCUG
Small nuclear RNA from Mustela putorius furo (domestic ferret), 165 nucleotides. Its record names the gene U1. It matches the Rfam family "U1 spliceosomal RNA". Rfam says of the family: U1 is a small nuclear RNA (snRNA) component of the spliceosome (involved in pre-mRNA splicing). The record is from Ensembl. Lineage: Eukaryota; Metazoa; Chordata; Mammalia; Carnivora; Mustelidae.